This 1098-nucleotide long non-coding RNA is filed under the name Equus asinus (donkey). RNAcentral's name for it is "lncRNA (ENSEASG00005025452.1)". The record is from RNAcentral. Lineage: Eukaryota; Metazoa; Chordata; Mammalia; Perissodactyla; Equidae.
CGUAUACUUAAUUACCAUGUUGCUGCUUCUAUUUCUGGACUUGCUCUUUUAUUUCUAUCAACUUGUACCUUUGUAAUAGACUGUUUCAUCCCCCCAGUACAUAGUCGUAUCUUCUAGUUGUGAGUGCCUCUGGUUGUGCUGUGUGGGCGCCGCCUCAGCAUGGCCUGAUGAGCGGUGCCAUGUCCGCGCCCCGGAUCAGAACCAGUGAGACCCUGGGCGGCCCAAGCGGAGCGUGAGAACUUAACCACUCAGCCACGGGGCCAGCCCCUGUUUGUUUGUUUGUAAUUUCAGCAAAGUAGCCAUUUAUUUUAUUCUUUCUUGUCUGUUAAUGUAUUCACAUCUUUAAGACUUUAACUCUCCUCUGAGUAGUGCUCAUGCUGAAUCCUGUAGGAAGGAUGCACAGUGUUUCUACGAUCGUUUGUAUACAGUCUUCAAUUUCAAUUUGCUCUCUGAUUCAAGAGUUGUUUGAAAGAUUUGCAAGAGCUUAAUCACAGCUCCCUCAAUGAAUAACUUCAUUGAAUUUGCAAUAUCUCUGCAAACUGAUCUCUGAAUCAGCAUGGCACAGUUAAGCCAGUUCUAGCAAAUUUGGAACUGUAUCUUAAAGAACUGUCUCACCUUACCACCCACAGGCUCUCAGCUCCUGAGAGCAGAAACCAAGUGUUGCUUGUCUUUGUGCAUCUAGCACAGAACCUGCCCAAAGCAGGUGCUCAGCAAGUAUUUGCUGAGCGGAACUGUCCUCAACUACCUAAUGGAAAAAGAGAAGAAAGGCAUUUCUUCACUGGACUGGCAAGUAGAAAUGAAUUCAGCCUUACCUGAAAUAGACACACAAACUCCCAGAGGCGGACCAGCGCACCUCUGAGGGUAUGGUUUCUGACCGGUCACUUGGGAGCAUCAUGCCCCUCACCCACAGGCUCAAUUCCAUCUCUGUUUUUGAACAUCGUGGUCCAAGUUCUGUCUCCUCUCAUAAUGUAAGAAACAGAUCCAUGUCUAGUUAUUUUGAGUCAAUGGAAGAUAUUUAAAAUAUUGAUACUUUAAAAGUUUAAAUGAAAUGUUAAUCAAAGGUGGUUUGUGAUGAUUUGCUUUCUAUGACUAUUUUUU